RNAcentral lists this ribosomal RNA (495 nucleotides) under uncultured bacterium. Its description in RNAcentral is "bacterial SSU rRNA". It matches the Rfam family "Bacterial small subunit ribosomal RNA", at positions 791 to 1288 of the family's 1533-position model. The record is from RNAcentral.
UAGUCCACACAGUAAACGAUGGAUACUAGGUGUUGGAUGGUAACGUUCAGCGCCGGAGCAAACGCAUUAAGUAUCCCGCCUGGGGAGUACGAUCGCAAGAUUGAAACUCAAAGGAAUUGACGGGGGCCCGCACAAGCGGUGGAGCAUGUGGUUUAAUUCGAUGCAACGCGAAGAACCUUACCUGGGCUUGAACUGAUACUGCCAUACUGUGAAAGCAGUUAUCCUUCGGGACGUAUUAGAGGUGCUGCAUGGCUGUCGUCAGCUCGUGUCGUGAGAUGUUGGGUUAAGUCCCGCAACGAGCGCAACCCUUACUCUUAGUUGCCAGCACAUAAUGGUGGGAACUCUAAGGGGACUGCCCCGGNUAACGGGGAGGAAGGUGGGGACGACGUCAAGUCAUCAUGGGCCUUACGUCCAGGGGCUACACACGUGCUACAAUGGCCGGUACAACGGGGCAGCUAGACAGCGAUGUUCAGCGAAUCCCUUAAAACCGGGUCU